Molecule: ribosomal RNA, 279 nt
Filed under: uncultured bacterium
Lineage: Bacteria
Description: partial 16S ribosomal RNA
Rfam family: Bacterial small subunit ribosomal RNA
Source: RNAcentral
UGCCAGCCGCCGCUGUAAUACUGAGUGUGCAAUCGUUAUCCGGAUUUAUUGGGUUUAAAGGGUACGUAGGCGGCAGAGUCAGUCAGUGGUGAAAGCCAACAGCUUAACUGUUGAACUGCCAUUGAUACUGCUUUGCUUGAGUACAGUCGAGGUAGGCGGAAUUCCACAUGUAGUGGUGAAAUGCAUAGAUAUGUGGAGGAACGCCGAUAACGAAGGUAGCUUACUAGGCUGUUACUGACGCUGAGGUACGAAAGCGUGGGGAGCAAACGGGAUUAGAUA